GGUUUAAUCACCCAAGUUUGAGGUGAAAAUGAAGAAAAAUUUGCGACUUUGUUUUACGUUGCGCAAGGUACUUCCAAGAAUACAAA
RNAcentral lists this small RNA (86 nucleotides) under Loa loa (African eye worm). Its description in RNAcentral is "sL1 RNA". Lineage: Eukaryota; Metazoa; Nematoda; Chromadorea; Rhabditida; Onchocercidae. The record is from RNAcentral.